RNAcentral lists this ribosomal RNA (833 nucleotides) under uncultured Acidobacteriota bacterium. RNAcentral's name for it is "bacterial SSU rRNA". It matches the Rfam family "Bacterial small subunit ribosomal RNA", at positions 56 to 896 of the family's 1533-position model. Lineage: Bacteria; Pseudomonadati; Acidobacteriota. The record is from RNAcentral.
UGCAAGUCGAGCGAGAAAGUGUAGCAAUACAUGAGUACAGCGGCGCACGGGUGAGUAACACGUGGAUAACCUGCCUCAGAGUGGGGAAUAACACCGGGAAACCGGUGCUAAUACCGCAUAUCCUGAUGAGAUCUGUGGAUUUUGUCAGUAAAGGAGCAAUUCGCUUCGAGAGGGGUCCGCGGCUGAUUAGCUAGUUGGUGAGGUAAUGGCUCACCAAGGCAACGAUCAGUAGCCGGUCUGAGAGGACGGUCGGCCACACUGGAACUGAGACACGGUCCAGACUCCUACGGGAGGCAGCAGUGGGGAAUUUUUCGCAAUGGGGGAAACCCUGACGAAGCAAUGCCGCGUGGAUGAUGAAGUAUUUCGGUACGUAAAAUCCUUUCGACGGGGACGAAACCGCAAGGUUGACGGUACCCGUAGAAGAAGCCCCGGCUAACUCCGUGCCAGCAGCCGCGGUAAUACGGGGGGGGCAAGCGUUGUUCGGAAUUACUGGGCGUAAAGGGUGCGUAGGCGGCUUUCUAAGUUGGAUGUGAAAACUCUGGGCUCAACCCAGAGACUGCAUCCAAAACUGGAGAGCUUGGGUUCUGGAGGGGAAAGCGGAAUUCCUGGUGUAGCGGUGAAAUGCGUAGAUAUCAGGAGGAACACCGGUGGCGAAGGCGGCUUUCUGGACAGAUACCGACGCUGAGGCACGAAAGCUAGGGGAGCAAACAGGAUUAGAUACCCUGGUAGUCCUAGCCCUAAACGAUGGAUACUUGCUGUGAGGGGGAUUGAAACCCCUUGUGGCGAAGCUAACGCAUUAAGUAUCCCGCCUGGGGAGUACGGUCGCAAGGCUG